This 52-nucleotide non-coding RNA is filed under the name Pseudoponticoccus marisrubri. Its description in RNAcentral is "Ponticoccus sp. SJ5A-1 Xanthine riboswitch aptamer (NMT1 RNA)". It matches the Rfam family "Xanthine riboswitch aptamer (NMT1 RNA)". From Rfam's summary of the family: Later it was reported as a ncRNA that recognised Xanthine. The record is from Rfam by way of RNAcentral. RNAcentral also lists the same sequence under 1 other name. Lineage: Bacteria; Pseudomonadati; Pseudomonadota; Alphaproteobacteria; Rhodobacterales; Roseobacteraceae.
CCCCGGAGUAGAAGCUGUCAGCGCCACAUGGGCGUCGGUCAUUGCUCCCCUU